This 23-nucleotide non-coding RNA is filed under the name Cricetulus griseus (Chinese hamster). Lineage: Eukaryota; Metazoa; Chordata; Mammalia; Rodentia; Cricetidae. The record is from RNAcentral.
UUGAUUCUGAAAAGAAAGCUGGC